GACGAACGCUGGCGGCGUGCCUAAUACAUGCAAGUAGAACGCUGAAGGAGGAGCUUGCUUCUCUGAUGAGUUGCGAACGGGUGAGUAACGCGUAGGUAACCUGCCUGGUAGCGGGGGAUAACUAUUGGAAACGAUAGCUAAUACCGCAUAAGAGUAGAUGUCGCAUGACAUUUGCUUAAAAGGUGCAAUUGCAUCACUACCAGAUGGACCUGCGUUGUAUUAGCUAGUUGGUGAGGUAACGGCUCACCAAGGCAACGAUACAUAGCCGACCUGAGAGGGUGAUCGGCCACACUGGGACUGAGACACGGCCCAGACUCCUACGGGAGGCAGCAGUAGGGAAUCUUCGGCAAUGGACGGAAGUCUGACCGAGCAACGCCGCGUGAGUGAAGAAGGUUUUCGGAUCGUAAAGCUCUGUUGUAAGAGAAGAACGAGUGUGAGAGUGGAAAGUUCACACUGGGACGGAUCUACCAAAA
Molecule: ribosomal RNA, 473 nt
Filed under: Streptococcus mitis
Lineage: Bacteria; Bacillati; Bacillota; Bacilli; Lactobacillales; Streptococcaceae
Description: bacterial SSU rRNA
Rfam family: Bacterial small subunit ribosomal RNA
Source: RNAcentral